UGCCAUAAAUGGAGAAAGGGCCUCAUG
Molecule: non-coding RNA, 27 nt
Filed under: Mus musculus (house mouse)
Lineage: Eukaryota; Metazoa; Chordata; Mammalia; Rodentia; Muridae
Source: RNAcentral